This 429-nucleotide ribosomal RNA is filed under the name Bacillota bacterium. RNAcentral describes it as "Firmicutes bacterium partial 16S ribosomal RNA". It matches the Rfam family "Bacterial small subunit ribosomal RNA", at positions 355 to 776 of the family's 1533-position model. The record is from RNAcentral. Lineage: Bacteria; Bacillati; Bacillota.
UGGGGAAUUUUGGACAAUGGGGGCAACCCUGAUCCAGCAAUGCCGCGUGUGUGAAGAAGGCCUUCGGGUUGUAAAGCACUUUUGUCCGGGAAGAAAUCGCACCUGAUAAUACCGGGUGUGGAUGACGGUACCGGAAGAAUAAGGACCGGCUAACUACGUGCCAGCAGCCGAGGUAAUACGUAGGGUCCAAGCGUUAAUCGGAAUUACUGGGCGUAAAGCGUGCGCAGGCGGUUGUGCAAGACCGAUGUGAAAUCCCCGGGCUUAACCUGGGAAUUGCAUUGGUGACUGCACGGCUAGAGUGUGUCAGAGGGGGGUAGAAUUCCACGUGUAGCAGUGAAAUGCGUAGAGAUGUGGAGGAAUACCGAUGGCGAAGGCAGCCCCCUGGGAUAACACUGACGCUCAUGCACGAAAGCGUGGGGAGCAAACAGG